Molecule: ribosomal RNA, 408 nt
Filed under: uncultured bacterium
Lineage: Bacteria
Description: partial 16S ribosomal RNA
Rfam family: Bacterial small subunit ribosomal RNA
Source: RNAcentral
GACGAACGCUGGCGGCGUGCUUAACACAUGCAAGUCGAACGAAGUGGCGAACGGGUGAGUAACGCGUAAUCAACCUGCCCUUCAGAGGGGGACAACAGUUGGAAACGACUGCUAAUACCGCAUACUGAAGGAGGGGAUUGCGUCUGAUUAGCUAGUUGGAGGGGUAACGGCCCACCAAGGCGAUGAUCAGUAGCCGGGCUGGGAGGGUGGACGGCCACAUUGGGAACGAGACACGGGCCAGACUCCUACGGGAGGCAGCAGUGGGGAAUCUUCCGCAAUGGACGAAAGUCUUGCGGCGGAACGCCGCGGGGGAGAUGACGGCCUUCGGGUUGUAAAGCUCUGUUAAGCGGGACGCGGUACCGGAAGAGAAAGCAACGGCUAACUACGUGCCAGCAGCCGCGGUAAUUC